AUUGAACGCUGGCGGCAUGCUUUACACAUGCAAGUCGGACGGCAGCGGGGUAGUGCUUGCACUACUGCCGGCGAGUGGCGCCCGGGUGAGUAAUAUAUUGGAACGUACCGAGUAAUGGGGGAUAACCAAUCGAAAGAUUGGCUAAUACCGCAUACGCUCUGAGGAUUAAAGCAGGGGACCUUCGCGCCUUGCGUUAUUCGAGCGGCCAAUAUCUGAUUAGCUAGUUGGUGGGGUAAGGGCCUACCAAGGCGACGAUCAGUAGCGCGUCUGAGAGGAUGAUCCGCCACACUGGGACUGAGACACGGCCCAGACUCCUACGGGAGGCAGCAGUGGGGAAUUUCGGACAAUAGGCGCAAGCCUGAGCCAGCCAUGCCGCGUGUCUGAAGAAGGCCUUCGGGUUGUAAAGGACUUUUGUUAGGGAGGAAAAAGGUGCGGUUAAUACCCGUUUCUGCUGACGGUACCUAAAGAAUAAGCACCGGCUAUCUACGUG
RNAcentral lists this ribosomal RNA (490 nucleotides) under uncultured bacterium. RNAcentral's name for it is "partial 16S ribosomal RNA". It matches the Rfam family "Bacterial small subunit ribosomal RNA", at positions 30 to 507 of the family's 1533-position model. The record is from RNAcentral.